AGAGCGAACGCUGGCGGCAGGCCUAAUACAUGCAAGUCGAACGGACCCUUCGGGGUUAGUGGCGGACGGGUGAGUAACACGUGGGAACGUGCCCUUUGGUUCGGAACAACUCAGGGAAACUUGAGCUAAUACCGAAUGUGCCCUUUGGGGGAAAGAUUUAUCGCCAUUGGAGCGGCCCGCGUCUGAUUAGCUAGUUGGUGAGGUAAAGGCUCACCAAGGCGACGAUCAGUAGCUGGUCUGAGAGGAUGAUCAGCCACACUGGGACUGAGACACGGCCCAGACUCCUACGGGAGGCAGCAGUAGGGAAUCUUGCGCAAUGGGCGAAAGCCUGACGCAGCCAUGCCGCGUGAAUGAUGAAGGUCUUAGGAUUGUAAAAUUCUUUCAGCGGGGACGAUAAUGACGGUACCCGCAGAAGAAGCCCCGGCUAACUUCGUGCCAGCAGCCGC
This 446-nucleotide ribosomal RNA is filed under the name uncultured bacterium. RNAcentral describes it as "SSU rRNA". It matches the Rfam family "Bacterial small subunit ribosomal RNA", at positions 26 to 518 of the family's 1533-position model. The record is from RNAcentral.